This 379-nucleotide ribosomal RNA is filed under the name uncultured cyanobacterium. Its description in RNAcentral is "bacterial SSU rRNA". It matches the Rfam family "Bacterial small subunit ribosomal RNA", at positions 376 to 770 of the family's 1533-position model. The record is from RNAcentral. Lineage: Bacteria; Bacillati; Cyanobacteriota.
CGAAAGCCUGACGGAGCAACGCCGCGUGAGGGAUGAAGGCCUCUGGGCUGUAAACCUCUUUUCUCAAGGAAGUAGAUCUGACGGUACUUGAGGAAUAAGCCACGACUAAUUCCGUGCCAGCAGCCGCGGUAAUACGGGAGUGGCAAGCGUUAUCCGGAAUCAUUGGGCGUAAAGCGUCCGCAGGCGGCCUUGUAAGUCUGUUGUUAAAGCGUGGAGCUUAACUCCAUUUCAGCGAUGGAAACUACAAGGCUUGAGUGUGGUAGGGGCAGAGGGAAUUCCCGGUGUAGCGGUGAAAUGCGUAGAUAUCGGGAAGAACACCAGUGGCGAAGGCGCUCUGCUGGGCCAUAACUGACGCUCAUGGACGAAAGCCAGGGGAGCG